This 1285-nucleotide long non-coding RNA is filed under the name Homo sapiens (human). RNAcentral describes it as "HSALNT0339590". The record is from RNAcentral. Lineage: Eukaryota; Metazoa; Chordata; Mammalia; Primates; Hominidae.
AGUUCCCUCUCAUCCAAAGACUCAGCACCUCCAAGGCUCAGACUCCCAGGGCACUGCUACCUCAGAGAUCUCUCCAGGCUCUGCUCACAGGCACUCACCCACUGCCUGACCUUGCAGGCUCCUGGAAUUAAGCCAUGAGUGGUUUCCUGUCUCUUGACAACAUCUACCCAGAACUCAGACUUUGGUUUUCCUUUGUCCCUAGACCACAGCCUGAGGCAGCCAAACCCAUUUCCUUGGGGAUCCAGCGCAAACCAGAGAGUGUGGACAGGCCGAUGGAAGAAUGUUGGACCAGCUUUAAGAAUGGGCUGUUCUAAGUCAUGAAUAUUGUAGGAAGCAGCUCUAAGGACCACAGGGCUGGAGGGUGCACAGGAAGGGGCCAGUGCAUACAGGUGUCCAAACAGUGUCAUCCGGUGUCCUGACAUGCGGCCCCAAUGGACUGAUCCAGGGUGGAAAGGAAGAGUGAGAAGAAAUCAGACAGAAGAAUUCAGGAGAUGUGGCAACAGAGUGGAUGUAGCAGAAGGGACAUAGAGAGUGCCUAAAGAUGAGUCUUUGGUCAGCAUGUGAUGAAAAGAAUGAAGACACUGGGGAAGUGGGGAGCAGAAGCGGAUGUGGGCCCAGGAGGAAGAAGGUAGGUUUGGACUGGGGCAUGCUGAGGUCAGUAGCAACAUCAAAGUCCUGAGCACCCUCAUAUUGUUGCAGAUUCCAGAGAGCAGAGAUGGCAAAAAGAUGCAUGGAAGAGAGACACAGCAGGGUCGGGUUCUGGCCUCAGGAGCCAAGGGGGAAGUGCCUGAGGAGACCCCCAAAUGAGGCCUGUGUCAAUGAGGUCUUUAGGGGACUGGUUUCCAUGUAUGCCAGGCCAUACUCCCUGGAUUCCCAGCAUUGAGAAGACCAAACACUUCUACACAUUUAUUACUGAAGCCCCCUGCAAGCUGAAGGCGGAGGAAGUGGCCAAUCUCCUAAGCCGUGUGUGGCUGAGGCAGUUGUCAGAGCUGUGAUGAGGGAAAUGCUCAUUAUUCUUCUAUCCCUCACUUGGCCAAAUAAAGAACUUCUUAGAAUUCUUCCCCUGUGACAAAACGGGGCUGUGAUUUGGAAAGCCUCAGGCAAGUUUGCUAGGGCCGCGGUAACCAAGCACCACAGACUGGGUGGCUUCAAAACUGGACGGCUUCAACAGAAAGUUAUUGUUGCUCAGUUCUGGAAGCCAGAAGUCCAAAAUCAAGGUACUUGCAGGGUCAGUUCGAUCUGAGGGCUGCGAGGGAAGGAUCUGUUGUAGACCUCUCUCCUAGGU